GGAGUGUGUAACAACUCACCUGCCGAAUGAACUAGCGCUGAAAAUGGAUGGCGCUCAAGCGGACCACCGAUCCCCGACCAACGGCGUGAGUGCUUUGCGCCGUUGAGUAGGAGGGCGUGGGGCUCGUGAAGCAGCCGCGGGAGUGAUCCCCGGUGAAACGGGCUCUAGUGCAGAUCUUGGUGGGAGUAGCAAAUAUUCAAAUGAGAACUUUGAAGACUGAAGUGGACAAGGGUUCCAUGUGAACAGCAGUUGGACAUGGGUGAG
Molecule: ribosomal RNA, 264 nt
Filed under: Rhodella violacea
Lineage: Eukaryota; Rhodophyta; Rhodellophyceae; Rhodellales; Rhodellaceae
Description: partial Eukaryotic large subunit ribosomal RNA
Rfam family: Eukaryotic large subunit ribosomal RNA
Source: RNAcentral